Molecule: long non-coding RNA, 1023 nt
Organism: Mastomys coucha (southern multimammate mouse)
Lineage: Eukaryota; Metazoa; Chordata; Mammalia; Rodentia; Muridae
Exons: 2
Source: RefSeq, a predicted model, not a curated record
CGCCUCGCUAGCGCCCAUUCAGCCCCGGACAGUUGGCUCCCCGGCGCGGCUGCUGAGGGGAGUGGGGGGUAGGCGGGGGCGGGGUCGCGCGUCACGAGGAUGCUGGAAGCCAAUCAGAGUGCGCCGAGGCCCCGCCUCCGAGCGGGCUGUCCCCUCCGACUGCUAGUGAGAAGGGGAGUGGGGCGACUCCAGCCCAGACGUAGCUGGGGCGCCAGGCAUCCUAGGACAAGGGUGCCCCGCGCUUGGGGAUCUCUCCAACUCUCUCCAGGCUUGCGCGUGAUUAGAUGGUGGAAGGCGUUCUGGGGAACCUAAGGUGGCUCGGGAGCGGUUAUAGGCUUUGACUGAGCAUCCAAUUAGGAAUCGGAGCCGGGGAAAUAAGGGGCUUGACGUAGUCACGUGCGUUAUUCGCCAGCUGUCCACUGGUCUUCAGUUACUGGUCCUGGGUUCCUGAGACCCAAGAGACAAACACCAGGGCAAGCUAGAUCAGCGAGCGGUUCUCAACCUGGGGGUUGAACAGCCUUUCACAAGGGUCGCUUGAGACCAAUGGAAGACACAUAUUUACAUUACGACUCGCAACAGUAGCGAAAUUACAGUUAUGAAGUGGCAACGAAAAUAAUUUUAUGGUCAGGGGUUACCACUACAACUUGAGGAACUGUAUUAAAGGGUCGCAGCAUUAGGAAGGUUGAGAACGACUGGGCUAGACGUUUGUUACUGUACUAGCUACCCAAGCCAAACAACUUGUUUUAACAGGAGAAGGAACUGAGAUCUGCGUGAGGCUGAGGAUUCCAACUUGCAAUACACCCUUAAGAAACUACCUCUUGGACUGGAGAGAUGGCUCAAUGGUUAAAAGCAUGUACUGUUUUCACAGAGGAUCUUGCAGGAUUCCCAGCACCCACCUCAGACAGCUUACAUCUCAAACCUAGUAACAACUCCAGCUCCAGGGGAUCUGACCUGCUCUUCUGGCCUAAGGGCACUUACAAACAUUGGCACAGGCACGGCAGACACAUAAUAAAUCCUUUUAAA